AGAGUUUGAUCCUGGCUCAGGACGAACGCUGGCGGCGUGCCUAAUACAUGCAAGUCGAGCGGGGCUUGAGGAGGGCUUGCCCUUCGAGAGCCCAGCGGCGGACGGGUGAGUAACACGUGGGUAACCUGCCCGUAAGACCGGGAUAACUCCGGGAAACCGGGGCUAAUACCGGAUAACACCGGGGGCCGCAUGGCUUCCGGUUGAAAGGCGGCCUUUGGCUGCCACUUACGGAUGGGCCCGCGGCGCAUUAGCUAGUUGGCGGGGUAACGGCCCACCAAGGCGACGAUGCGUAGCCGGCCUGAGAGGGUGGACGGCCACACUGGGACUGAGACACGGCCCAGACUCCUACGGGAGGCAGCAGUAGGGAAUCUUCCGCAAUGGGCGAAAGCCUGACGGAGCGACGCCGCGUGAGCGAGGAAGGCCUUCGGGUCGUAAAGCUCUGUUGUCAGGGAAGAAGGCGCGCCGUUCGAACAGGGCGGCGCGGUGACGGUACCUGACGAGGAAGCCCCGGCUAACUACGUGCCAGCAGCCGCGGUAAAACGUAGGGGGC
Molecule: ribosomal RNA, 550 nt
Filed under: uncultured Bacillus sp.
Lineage: Bacteria; Bacillati; Bacillota; Bacilli; Caryophanales; Bacillaceae
Description: bacterial SSU rRNA
Rfam family: Bacterial small subunit ribosomal RNA
Source: RNAcentral